This 262-nucleotide ribosomal RNA is filed under the name uncultured bacterium. Its description in RNAcentral is "partial 16S ribosomal RNA". It matches the Rfam family "Bacterial small subunit ribosomal RNA", at positions 513 to 774 of the family's 1533-position model. The record is from RNAcentral.
GGCCGCGGUAAUACGAAGGGGGCUAGCGUUGUUCGGAUUUACUGGGCGUAAAGCGCACGUAGGCGGAUCGUUAAGUUAGGGGUGAAAUCCUGGAGCUCAACUCCAGAACUGCCCUUAAUACUGGCGAUCUCGAGUCCGGAAGAGGUGAGUGGAACUCCUAGUGUAGAGGUGGAAUUCGUAGAUAUUAGGAAGAACACCAGUGGCGAAGGCGGCUCACUGGUCCGGUACUGACGCUGAUGUGCGAAAGCGUGGGGAGCAAACA